Molecule: ribosomal RNA, 545 nt
Filed under: Carabus irregularis
Lineage: Eukaryota; Metazoa; Arthropoda; Insecta; Coleoptera; Carabidae
Description: partial large subunit ribosomal RNA
Rfam family: Bacterial large subunit ribosomal RNA
Source: RNAcentral
UUUUAAAUGGCCGCAGUAUUUUGACUGUGCAAAGGUAGCAUAAUCAUUAGUUUUUUAAUUAAAAGCUUGUAUGAAAGGCUGGACGAGGUAAAAUCUGUCUCUAUUUAAAUUAUAAUAGAAUUUAACUUUUAAGUUAAAAGGCUUAAAUAUUAUUAAAAGACGAGAAGACCCUAUAGAGCUUUAUAAUUUAUUAAAUAAAAUUAAUUUAGAAAUAUUUAUGUUUUAUUUAAUUAAAUUAUUUUAUUGGGGUAAUAGAAAGAUUGAAUUAAUUCUUUUUUGUAAUAAACAUUAAUUUAUGAAUAUUAAAUGAUCCAAUUUUAUUGAUUAUAAGAUUAAGUUACCUUAGGGAUAACAGCGUAAUUUUUUUAGAGAGUUCAUAUCGAUAAAAAAGUUUGCGACCUCGAUGUUGGAUUAAAGAUUAUUUUAGGUGUAGAAGCUUAAUAAAUUUGGUCUGUUCGACCAUUAAAUCUUUACAUGAUCUGAGUUCAGACCGGCGUAAGCCAGGUCGGUUUCUAUCUUUAAUAAAAUAAAAUAUUUUAGUACGA